CCUACGGGGGGCUGCAGUGGGGAAUAUUGGACAAUGGGGGCAACCCUGAUCCAGCCAUGCCGCGUGUGUGAAGAAGGCCCUCGGGUUGUAAAGCACUUUCAGUGAGGAAGAACGCCUGGUGGUUAAUACCCAUCAGGAAAGACAUCACUCACAGAAGAAGCACCGGCUAACUCCGUGCCAGCAGCCGCGGUAAUUCGGAGGGUGCGAGCGUUAAUCGGAAUUACUGGGCGUAAAGCGCGCGUAGGUGGCUUGAUAAGCCGGUUGUGAAAGCCCCGGGCUCAACCUGGGAACGGCAUCCGGAACUGUCAAGCUAGAGUGCAGGAGAGGAAGGUAGAAUUCCCGGUGUAGCGGUGAAAUGCGUAGAGAUCGGGAGGAAUACCAGUGGCGAAGGCGGCCUUCUGGACUGACACUGACACUGAGGUGCGAAAGCGUGGGUAGCAAACAGGAUUAGAUACCCCAGUAGUC
RNAcentral lists this ribosomal RNA (465 nucleotides) under Vreelandella stevensii. RNAcentral describes it as "partial 16S ribosomal RNA". It matches the Rfam family "Bacterial small subunit ribosomal RNA", at positions 338 to 795 of the family's 1533-position model. The record is from RNAcentral. Lineage: Bacteria; Pseudomonadati; Pseudomonadota; Gammaproteobacteria; Oceanospirillales; Halomonadaceae.